Brachypodium distachyon (stiff brome) is the source of this 136-nucleotide non-coding RNA. The record is from Rfam. NCBI's taxonomy places the organism in Eukaryota, Viridiplantae, Streptophyta, Magnoliopsida, Poales, Poaceae.
ACAGUACUUACUUCGUUCAACAAAAGAUGUCUUAAGUUUGUCAAAAUUUAGAUGUAUCUAGACAUGACUUAGUGUAUAAAUGCAUUCAAAUUUAAUCAAAAUUGAGACAUCCUUUAUUGGACGGAGGAAAUAAUAU